This 72-nucleotide non-coding RNA is filed under the name Ideonella sp. B508-1. RNAcentral describes it as "Xanthine riboswitch aptamer (NMT1 RNA)". It matches the Rfam family "Xanthine riboswitch aptamer (NMT1 RNA)". From Rfam's summary of the family: Later it was reported as a ncRNA that recognised Xanthine. Lineage: Bacteria; Pseudomonadati; Pseudomonadota; Betaproteobacteria; Burkholderiales; Sphaerotilaceae. The record is from Rfam by way of RNAcentral. RNAcentral also lists the same sequence under 1 other name.
GUCAAGAGUAGAAGCGUUCAGUCGCGCAACCGUCCUCCCCGGAGGCGGUGCCGGCGGGUCAUUGCUCUUGGA